Long non-coding RNA from Tympanuchus pallidicinctus (lesser prairie-chicken), 600 nucleotides. RefSeq lists it as uncharacterized. NCBI's taxonomy places the organism in Eukaryota, Metazoa, Chordata, Aves, Galliformes, Phasianidae. The record is from RefSeq and is a predicted model, not a curated record. The transcript is spliced from 3 exons.
GGCUGGACCUUGACUUUUCAUCUGCAGAUCCCCAGAAUAUUUUUGGAGCCAUAACUUACCACACAUAUUAAUAAAUAGAAACCUCUGCCAUCAGGAGAAGAAAAACAGUGAAAACAUAAGAGAAGGGAGUUAAGAAGCUUUGUAUACAAGCUUUUUUGUUAACCCUGCUGGACAAAGGCUGCGGUCUGUAAGUGACCACUUGAAAAGUUCUUUCAUCAGACUGUAAUUGCACAAAGAGGAAGCACGUUUCCCAACAGUACCAAUGCACUGCAUCAUCACUGGACAGUGAAAAAAGUGACUUCAGUAGCUCUGAUAUUGAAUGGCACUUAAGGCAUGGAACAACAGUUUUAAACAUCUCAUCCUUCCCUACUGAUGUAAAAAGACUCGGUUGCUGUAACAAGCUAGAGCCAUGAAUGUGGAUCAUCACCUUCCUGCUGGAAAGGCCCAGGGAAUCCAAAGGAGUUGAAACCAUUUGUGUUGUUAAAAGCUCAGAGCUUCCAAACAUUAUGGAUAAUGCCGUAGAUGCAAAGUAACAAGAUAUUUGUAAGGAGUUUCGUAUUCAUAUAAUAACAUAUACUCAAUUAUUUGUAUUUAAAUCAU